UACAGAGGGUGCAAGCGUUGUUCGGAAUUAUUGGGCGUAAAGGGCGCGUAGGCGGUGCCACAAGUCACCUGUGAAAUCUCCGGGCUUAACUCGGAGCCUGCAGGCGAAACUGUGGUGCUGGAGUGUGGCAGAGGGGGGUGGAAUUCCGCGUGUAGCAGUGAAAUGCGUAGAGAUGCGGAGGAACACCGAUGGCGAAGGCAGCCCCCUGGGCUGACACUGACGCUCAGGCACGAAAGCGUGGGGAGCAAACAGG
RNAcentral lists this ribosomal RNA (253 nucleotides) under uncultured bacterium. RNAcentral describes it as "partial 16S ribosomal RNA". It matches the Rfam family "Bacterial small subunit ribosomal RNA", at positions 524 to 776 of the family's 1533-position model. The record is from RNAcentral.